Small nuclear RNA from Pipistrellus kuhlii (Kuhl's pipistrelle), 103 nucleotides. Lineage: Eukaryota; Metazoa; Chordata; Mammalia; Chiroptera; Vespertilionidae. The record is from RefSeq and is a predicted model, not a curated record.
GUUUGCUUUUUUCCACACAUAUACUAAAAUUGGAACAAUACAGAGAAGCUUAGCAUGGUCCUUGCAUAAGAACAACAUGUAACUUUUACUGUUCCAUAUUUUU